GGAGGCGUCAUGGAACCUCGUGUGGGCUCGUUGGUGCCUCUGACCUGGGGGUAGAGCGUGACCGCAUCCGGCACCGCUGCGCUGCCGGACCCCGCGCUGCACCCAAAAUGCUGCUGAAACGGCCCUAAACCCUGCUGCCUGCACGGCCCCAGCUGCCCCAGAGCUGGGGGGAAGGGACGGUGUGGAGAGCUCUGACCCCCAGUGUCCAACCACCGCUUCCAAGUGCUGAGCCUGAUCCUCAGCUCGUGUGGAGCAGCAUGAGGCUCAACAGGACCAUUUUUGUGGGCUGCCACCAGGUCUUGCUGCCUCUCUGUGUCCCCCCCAGCACGUGGAGACGCCUCAGCAGGAGGAUGCUCAACAGCACUUGUGAGUGCUGGAUUCCUGCUGUCACAUCAGCUGUCACCUUGGUGCUCCACGCUCUCCUCUUGCUGGCCCUUUACAUCAUGCUCAGCAGGAAAAUUGGUAAUUACUGCCUUGGUGGCUUUCCCUGGGGAUUUCUUGUUUUGGGCACUGGGGUGGAGUGGGAAAGGGGCAGGGCAGGGCCGAGCUCGGGUCCAGGCUGGGGGUGAGCUGUGGGUGACGUGGGCAGUGGCAGUGAGGGUUGUACAACCUUGCAUUGCUUCAAAACCAUCUUCUUUUAUUGCUCUUUUAGUAAAGUGCUGGGAAAAUACCAAGAGUCAACUCACAGAGUAUUAAUUCAGAUGAAGCUGCAGUUUGUAGCAGGAAAUUCUUUCACACCAACUGCUGCUGACAUUUGCACAAAGCCCAGCUCCUCUUGGGGUCAAAGGCAUCCCAAACUUACCAGAAGAGGCCUUGGCACCGUGAUUUGUCACUGGGGCCUCUCCUGGUGGGACAACAGGGCACUGGA
This 868-nucleotide long non-coding RNA is filed under the name Corvus moneduloides (New Caledonian crow). RNAcentral's name for it is "lncRNA (ENSCMUG00000018082.1)". The record is from RNAcentral. Lineage: Eukaryota; Metazoa; Chordata; Aves; Passeriformes; Corvidae.